GACGAACGCUGGCGGCGUGCCUAAUACAUGCAAGUAGAACGCUGAAGGAGGAGCUUGCUUCUCUGGAUGAGUUGCGAACGGGUGAGUAACGCGUAGGUGACCUGCCUGGUAGCGGGGGAUAACUAUUGGAAACGAUAGCUAAUACCGCAUAAGAGUAGAUGUUGCAUGACAUUUACUUAAAAGGUGCAAUUGCAUCACUACCAGAUGGACCUGCGUUGUAUUAGCUAGUUGGUGGGGUAACGGCUCACCAAGGCGACGAUACAUAGCCGACCUGAGAGGGUGAUCGGCCACACUGGGACUGAGACACGGCCCAGACUCCUACGGGAGGCAGCAGUAGGGAAUCUUCGGCAAUGGACGGAAGUCUGACCGAGCAACGCCGCGUGAGUGAAGAAGGUUUUCGGAUCGUAAAGCUCUGUUGUAAGAGAAGAACGAGUGUGAGAGUGGAAAGUUCACAGCUGUGACGGAUUCUUGCCAGAAAGGACG
RNAcentral lists this ribosomal RNA (483 nucleotides) under Streptococcus mitis. Its description in RNAcentral is "bacterial SSU rRNA". It matches the Rfam family "Bacterial small subunit ribosomal RNA", at positions 28 to 494 of the family's 1533-position model. Lineage: Bacteria; Bacillati; Bacillota; Bacilli; Lactobacillales; Streptococcaceae. The record is from RNAcentral.